CAGUAGCCACGGUAAUACAGAGGAUUUAAGCGUUAUCCGGAAUGAUUGGGCGUAAAGCGUCUGUAGGUGGCUUUUCAAGUCCGUCGUCAAAUCCCAGGGCUCAACCCUGGACAGGCGGUGGAAACUACCAAGUUGGAGUACGGUAGGGGCAGAGGGAAUUUCCGGUGGAGCGGUGAAAUGCGUUGAGAUCGGAAAGAACACCAACAGCGAAAGCACUCUACUGGGCUGACGCUGACACUGAGAGACGAACGCUAGGGGAGAAAAUGGGAUUAGAUACCCCAGUAGUCCCUGUCUCUUAUAC
Molecule: ribosomal RNA, 301 nt
Filed under: uncultured bacterium
Lineage: Bacteria
Description: partial 16S ribosomal RNA
Rfam family: Bacterial small subunit ribosomal RNA
Source: RNAcentral